CAAUCUUUUCAACGGCAGCAUUCCCGUUGAACUUGGCCAUCUUGGUGCUCUCCAGAUCUCCCUCAACAUUAGCCAUAACGCGCUCUCAGGUACAAUUCCAGGUGAUUUGGGGAAAUUGCAGAUGCUGGAAUCAAUGUACUUGAAUAACAAUCAGCUUGUUGGUGAAAUUCCCGCUUCAAUUGGUGACUUGAUGAGCCUCCUGGUAUGCAACCUUUCUAACAAUAACCUGGUAGGAACAGUGCCAAACACCCCUGUUUUUCAGAGGAUGGAUUCCAGCAAUUUUGGUGGAAACAGUGGCUUGUGCAGAG
Molecule: long non-coding RNA, 308 nt
Filed under: Vitis vinifera (wine grape)
Lineage: Eukaryota; Viridiplantae; Streptophyta; Magnoliopsida; Vitales; Vitaceae
Description: long non-coding RNA (VVIN_LNC006663)
Source: RNAcentral